Molecule: ribosomal RNA, 366 nt
Filed under: Triticum aestivum (bread wheat)
Lineage: Eukaryota; Viridiplantae; Streptophyta; Magnoliopsida; Poales; Poaceae
Description: partial small subunit ribosomal RNA
Source: RNAcentral
AUGGACCCAGCUCUCGAGUGUCAAUACUCAUGCAAAGGCGCCGAGGUGGCAGCACUGGUGGCAUACAAGUGUCUCAGCCAAAACCCAAAGUCUAGGCCCACCAUGAGGGAGGUGGUCAAGGCCCUCGAGCCCGUCCUCGGCAUGGAAGACUUCUUUCCUGUGGGCCCAUUUGUGUUCACAAUCAUUGUGGAGGAGGACAAGGUAGUGGACAUGAAGGUGGAGGUCGAGGAGAAGCACCAACACCAUCGCCAGAACCAUCAAGACAGGCACCGGCAGAAGUACCCCGACUCAGCAAUCCAUGCCGGCAUUGUAACAUCCCAAAAUUCUAAAUUUUGGAAUGUUAUAAUAACAGAUAGAUUGGAUUGA